RNAcentral lists this ribosomal RNA (613 nucleotides) under uncultured bacterium. RNAcentral's name for it is "bacterial SSU rRNA". It matches the Rfam family "Bacterial small subunit ribosomal RNA", at positions 28 to 638 of the family's 1533-position model. The record is from RNAcentral.
AUUGAACGCUGGCGGCAUGCCUUACACAUGCAAGUCGAACGGCAGCGCGGGGCAACCUGGCGGCGAGUGGCGAACGGGUGAGUAAUAUAUCGGAACGUACCCUGGAGUGGGGGAUAACGUAGCGAAAGUUACGCUAAUACCGCAUACGAUCUAAGGAUGAAAGUGGGGGAUCGCAAGACCUCAUGCUCCUGGAGCGGCCGAUAUCUGAUUAGCUAGUUGGUAGGGUAAAAGCCUACCAAGGCAUCGAUCAGUAGCUGGUCUGAGAGGACGACCAGCCACACUGGAACUGAGACACGGUCCAGACUCCUACGGGAGGCAGCAGUGGGGAAUUUUGGACAAUGGGCGCAAGCCUGAUCCAGCAAUGCCGCGUGAGUGAAGAAGGCCUUCGGGUUGUAAAGCUCUUUUGUCAGGGAAGAAACGGGCCUUUCUAAUACAGAGGCCUAAUGACGGUACCUGAAGAAUAAGCACCGGCUAACUACGUGCCAGCAGCCGCGGUAAUACGUAGGGUGCAAGCGUUAAUCGGAAUUACUGGGCGUAAAGCGUGCGCAGGCGGUUUUGUAAGUCUGUCGUGAAAUCCCCGGGCUCAACCUGGGAAUGGCGAUGGAGACUGCAA